GGGCCCGUGGCCUAGCCAGGAUUAAGGCACCGAACCAUCAAACAUGAAAAAGUGGUGUGCAAGCCUCCGGAGCCGGGGAUCCCGGGUUCAAAUCCCGGCGGGCCCGCCA
Molecule: transfer RNA, 109 nt
Filed under: Candidatus Bathyarchaeota archaeon
Lineage: Archaea; Thermoproteati; Candidatus Bathyarchaeota
Description: tRNA-OTHER
Rfam family: tRNA
About the family: Transfer RNA (tRNA) molecules are approximately 80 nucleotides in length. Their secondary structure includes four short double-helical elements and three loops (D, anti-codon, and T loops).
Source: RNAcentral